RNAcentral lists this non-coding RNA (175 nucleotides) under chicken gut metagenome. RNAcentral describes it as "Lysine riboswitch". It matches the Rfam family "Lysine riboswitch aptamer". Rfam says of the family: Riboswitches are metabolite binding domains within certain messenger RNAs that serve as precision sensors for their corresponding targets. Allosteric rearrangement of mRNA structure is mediated by ligand binding, and this results in modulation of gene expression. This family includes riboswitches that sense lysine in a number of genes involved in lysine metabolism, including lysC. The record is from RNAcentral.
AUGAUAGAGGCGCGACGCAUCAAGAGUACCGGUUUUGCCCCAGGCUUUCGCAGAGCUGUGCGGAUUGGGAAAGGGAUCGUCGCCGAAGGGGCCCGAGGCGGAAAGGUACCCUGGGCAGACGGUCAACAGCCGUCUGACUGUCGCAUUUGCGGAGUGCUAUGCGGAGUGCUAUCAG